Molecule: ribosomal RNA, 518 nt
Filed under: uncultured bacterium
Lineage: Bacteria
Description: partial 16S ribosomal RNA
Rfam family: Bacterial small subunit ribosomal RNA
Source: RNAcentral
GACGAACGCUGGCGGCGUGCCUAAUACAUGCAAGUCGAGCGAGUCUGCCUUGAAGAUCGGAGUGCUUGCACUCUGUGAAACAAGAUACAGGCUAGCGGCGGACGGGUGAGUAACACGUGGGUAACCUGCCCAAGAGAUCGGGAUAACACCUGGAAACAGAUGCUAAUACCGGAUAACAACAGAUGAUGCCUAUCAACUGUUUAAAAGAUGGUUCUGCUAUCACUCUCGGAUGGACCUGCGGUGCAUUAGCUAGUUGGUAGGGUAACGGCCUACCAAGGCGAUGAUGCGUAGCCGAGUUGAGAGACUGAUCGGCCACAUUGGGACUGAGACACGGCCCAAACUCCUACGGGAGGCAGCAGUAGGGAAUCUUCCACAAUGGACGCAAGUCUGAUGGAGCAACGCGGCGUGAGUGAAGAAGGGUUUCGGCUCGUAAAGCUCUGUUGUUGGUGAAGAAGGACAGGGGUAGUAACUGACCUUUGUUUGACGGAAAUCAAGUAGAAAGUCACGGCUAACUACGU